This 208-nucleotide unclassified non-coding RNA is filed under the name Hevea brasiliensis (rubber tree). The record is from RNAcentral. Lineage: Eukaryota; Viridiplantae; Streptophyta; Magnoliopsida; Malpighiales; Euphorbiaceae.
AGAAGGGCAAGUUUCGGGCACUGGCCAUCGGCGAUGAUAGAGAGAGAGCUAAGGAGCUCGAGAAGGAGAUUGAAUUGGAGGCUCACCAGAAGCGUGGGGACAGAGAGGUAGAAGAUGAUCGAUACAGGGUGAGGGCAGGGGACAGAGGAAGAGAUAGAGAUAGAGGUAGGGAUAGGGAUAGGGAUAGAAGAGACGGAGAUAGAGACAG